CCAAGCCAUUCUGUGACUCUAUGAUUCUAUGAUUCUAUGAUUUCACCUGUCAGGGUUCCCUGACUAAUUCUAUACUAAAAUUUGUUAUUCCGUCAGUAUUUUCUUACAGAUUAUGAUUUCCAGAUCAUUAAUGGCUCCAUGUUUUCGUCUUGGCAUUCUAUAAUCCAACUUCAGUAUUCAUAACUGAGCAGAAUACUUCAUUUGGUGGUUGGACUAGACAUUAUUUGUUGUCUUUUCAAACCCUAAUGAUUCUAUGAGUCUAUGAAAUAUUAUCACUAGUGAUGCAGUGAAAGGGUUAAGUCAUGUAUACUACAUAUGAGAAUAUAUUUCACUCUACUAUUCAUUUAGUGAUCCACCAACACUCCAAAACUUUUCCUGGAUCCCGGUUACCUAAGCCAUCUUUUCUGUAACCUGUUUUUAUUUGUUUUUUUGUAAUUAUGUCCUCUAAUUGUUAUUAUAUUGUUCUUAUUAAAUCACAUUAAGGAUUUUUUUUUCUUUGUCGUCUCCAAACAAUUUUUCCCUUUGAAAUUUUAAUCCUGCCUUUCAAUGUUUUUGCAGCUUAAUAUCAUGUGUACUUAACAAACAAACACAGUCUGUAUUCCUUCAAGCAGACAUGAAAGAGUAUUAAGCCAAAGACAAACUGCUUGGGUACACCACCUGAUGCAUCAUUCCCUUUUAAAGGUAAACCACUGAUAUCUAUUCUUUGAAUAUGACUUUGCAGAUACCUCUAUACCUGAGCUACAAGCCCUUCCUAAGCUUCCUUCUGAGAACACCGUAUCAAGCAAAAUGAAAGCUGGACUAGAAUCAAGAUAUAGAUUAUCUGUUGCUUUUUCCCUUUUUGUAAAGCCUUUUACCCUGACAGGGAAAGAAAUUCAAUUUAUUUGACAUGAUUAAUUCUUGAGAAAGUCAUGUUGACUGCAAUUUGUCUCCCUGUUCUCAUCUAAGUAUUUACAAACUGUUUAUUUAUGAUGGUACUUUCCUGUGACUUAAAGUUCCCUCAUUUCUCCUUUUCUCCUACUUCAAAGAUGGUCACUACAUUUUUCUUUUUUUCUAUUCAGUCUUACACACCUUGUUCAUUCUCUAUCAGAUCUCAGAGUGGCUCUCCUGAAGACGACAGUUUUCUAAGUACUGAAAGUGAGGUUCUCAUUGUGUCCAUAACCUUUGAAAGCAUCUGUGUUUCAAGAAAUAUUAAAUUUACUCUAGUU
RNAcentral lists this long non-coding RNA (1205 nucleotides) under Gallus gallus (chicken). RNAcentral's name for it is "lncRNA (ENSGALG00010009296.1)". Lineage: Eukaryota; Metazoa; Chordata; Aves; Galliformes; Phasianidae. The record is from RNAcentral.